RNAcentral lists this ribosomal RNA (567 nucleotides) under uncultured bacterium. Its description in RNAcentral is "bacterial SSU rRNA". It matches the Rfam family "Bacterial small subunit ribosomal RNA", at positions 49 to 605 of the family's 1533-position model. The record is from RNAcentral.
UAACACAUGCAAGUCGAGCGGAAACGAAGAGGUGCUUGCACCUCUGGCGUCGAGCGGCGGACGGGUGAGUAAUGCUUGGGAAUAUGCCUUAUGGUGGGGGACAACAGUUGGAAACGACUGCUAAUACCGCAUGAUGUCUACGGACCAAAGUGGGGGACCUUCGGGCCUCACGCCAUAAGAUUAGCCCAAGUGGGAUUAGCUAGUUGGUGAGGUAAUGGCUCACCAAGGCGACGAUCCCUAGCUGGUUUGAGAGGAUGAUCAGCCACACUGGGACUGAGACACGGCCCAGACUCCUACGGGAGGCAGCAGUGGGGAAUAUUGCACAAUGGGCGCAAGCCUGAUGCAGCCAUGCCGCGUGUGUGAAGAAGGCCUUCGGGUUGUAAAGCACUUUCAGUAAGGAGGAAAGGUUAAGUGUUAAUAGCACUUAGCUGUGACGUUACUUACAGAAGAAGCACCGGCUAACUCCGUGCCAGCAGCCGCGGUAAUACGGAGGGUGCGAGCGUUAAUCGGAGUUACUGGGCGUAAAGCGUACGCAGGCGGUUUGUUAAGCGAGAUGUGAAAGCCCCG